GCCCUCGUGAUGUAAUGGUAAGCACACUCGGCUCGUAUUCAAGAGGUCCAAGGUUCGAGUCCUGGUGAGGGCA
This 73-nucleotide transfer RNA is filed under the name Stegodyphus mimosarum. It matches the Rfam family "tRNA". From Rfam's summary of the family: Transfer RNA (tRNA) molecules are approximately 80 nucleotides in length. Their secondary structure includes four short double-helical elements and three loops (D, anti-codon, and T loops). Further hydrogen bonds mediate the characteristic L-shaped molecular structure. tRNAs have two regions of fundamental functional importance: the anti-codon, which is responsible for specific mRNA codon recognition, and the 3' end, to which the tRNAs corresponding amino acid is attached (by aminoacyl-tRNA synthetases). tRNAs cope with the degeneracy of the genetic code in two manners: having more than one tRNA (with a specific anti-codon) for a particular amino acid; and 'wobble' base-pairing, i.e. permitting non-standard base-pairing at the 3rd anti-codon position. The record is from Rfam by way of RNAcentral. Lineage: Eukaryota; Metazoa; Arthropoda; Arachnida; Araneae; Eresidae.